RNAcentral lists this microRNA precursor (186 nucleotides) under Oryza nivara. Its description in RNAcentral is "MIR812 microRNA precursor family". It matches the Rfam family "MIR812 microRNA precursor family". Lineage: Eukaryota; Viridiplantae; Streptophyta; Magnoliopsida; Poales; Poaceae. The record is from Rfam by way of RNAcentral.
AAAAAGUCAAAGGCUGUUUUUUUUUCCAACUUUAAUUGUUGGUCUUAUAUGAAAUUUUUUUAUAAUUCGUAUUUUCAUUGUUGUUAGAUGAUAGAACAUGAUUAAUAUUUUAUGCGUGACUUUUUUAAAAAAAGAUUCCUAUUUUUUUCAAAUAAGACGAACAGUCAAACGUUAGGUACGGAAACC